GACGAACGCUGGCGGCGUGCUUAACACAUGCAAGUCGAACGAAGUGGCGAACGGGUGAGUAACGCGUAAUCAACCUGCCCUUCAGAGGGGGAUAACAGUUGGAAACGACUGCUAAUACCGCAUACUGAAGGAGGGGAUUGCGUCUGAUUGGCUAGUUGGAGGGGUAAAGGCCCACCAAGGCGAUGAUCAGUAGCCGGUCUGGGAGGAUGAACGGCAACAUGUGGACUGGAACACGGCCCAGACUCCUACGGGAGGCAGCAGGGGGGAAUCUUCCGAAAUGGACGAAAGUCUGACGGAGCAACGCCGCGUGAGUGAUGACGGCCUUCGGGUUGUAAAGCUCUGUUAAUCGGGACGCGGUACCGGAAUAGAAAGCCAUGGCUAACUACGUGCCAGCAGCCGCGGUAAUAC
Molecule: ribosomal RNA, 408 nt
Filed under: uncultured bacterium
Lineage: Bacteria
Description: partial 16S ribosomal RNA
Rfam family: Bacterial small subunit ribosomal RNA
Source: RNAcentral